RNAcentral lists this transfer RNA (75 nucleotides) under Eubacteriales Family XIII. Incertae Sedis bacterium. RNAcentral describes it as "tRNA-Gln". It matches the Rfam family "tRNA". Rfam says of the family: Transfer RNA (tRNA) molecules are approximately 80 nucleotides in length. Their secondary structure includes four short double-helical elements and three loops (D, anti-codon, and T loops). The record is from RNAcentral. Lineage: Bacteria; Bacillati; Bacillota; Clostridia; Peptostreptococcales; Anaerovoracaceae.
AGGGGUAUAGCCAAGCGGUAAGGCAACGGACUUUGACUCCGUCAUUCGCAGGUUCGAGUCCCGCUACCCCUGCCA